RNAcentral lists this unclassified non-coding RNA (211 nucleotides) under plant metagenome. Its description in RNAcentral is "partial contains small subunit ribosomal RNA, internal transcribed spacer 1, and 5.8S ribosomal RNA". The record is from RNAcentral.
GUUCCGUAGGUGAACCUGCGGAAGGAUCAUUCAUAAUAAAGUGUUUUAUGGCACUCUUUAAAAAUCCAUAUCCACCUUGUGUGCAAUGUUAGAUCUCGUCAAUCUUGGCGAGAUUUUUAUACAUCAACUCAUUCUUUAACUAAUUUGUCUGAAAAAUAUUAUGAAUACUUAAUUCAAAAUACAACUUUCAACAACGGAUCUCUUGGCUCUC